RNAcentral lists this ribosomal RNA (621 nucleotides) under Triticum aestivum (bread wheat). RNAcentral's name for it is "partial small subunit ribosomal RNA". Lineage: Eukaryota; Viridiplantae; Streptophyta; Magnoliopsida; Poales; Poaceae. The record is from RNAcentral.
AUGUCUUCAUCCUCCGGCGCGUCCCAAUCCAACCUCAAUGGCCAAGUUACCGAGAAGCUGACGCGCACAAACUAUGUGCUAUGGCGCACGCAAGUGAUUCCCCAGCUGCGUGGCGCCGGUGUCUUCGGCUACGUCGACGGCACUCAGCCGGAGCCGGCGAGACUCCUCGUCACCACCAAGGAAGGCAAGGAGGUGUCAUCGCCCAACCCUCUCCACCCAAUCUGGGUCAGGGAGGAUCAGCAGGUUCUUGGAUACCUGCUGAACAAUCUGACACGCGAGGUUCUGCUCACGGUCACCACCGCGGGCGCGCUCUGGACGACGCUCGCCGGCAUGUUUUCCUCGCAGUCCGCCAGCCGCAUCAACAACAUGCGAACCUCCCUCAUCAACGCGCAGAAGGGCAACCUCUCCGUCGCCUCCUACUUCGCCGCCAUGCGCGGCUACGCCGACGAGCUCGCAGCCGCGGGCAAGGCGAUCCCCGACGACGAACUGGCCUCCUACAUCAUCCACGGGCUCGACGCCGACUAUCAGCCCCUCGUAUCUGCCCUAGACGCCCGCGUGACCCAGGUAACCCUUGAUGAGCUCUUUGCCAUGCUGUCAAAUUUCGAUCAACGCAUGGCAUAG